Molecule: ribosomal RNA, 486 nt
Filed under: Pseudomonas sp. CL4.15
Lineage: Bacteria; Pseudomonadati; Pseudomonadota; Gammaproteobacteria; Pseudomonadales; Pseudomonadaceae
Description: bacterial SSU rRNA
Rfam family: Bacterial small subunit ribosomal RNA
Source: RNAcentral
CCAUGGCUCAGAUUGAACGCUGGCGGCAGGCCUAACACAUGCAAGUCGAGCGGAUGACAGGAGCUUGCUCCUGAAUUCAGCGGCGGACGGGUGAGUAAUGCCUAGGAAUCUGCCUGGUAGUGGGGGACAACGUUUCGAAAGGAACGCUAAUACCGCAUACGUCCUACGGGAGAAAGCAGGGGACCUUCGGGCCUUGCGCUAUCAGAUGAGCCUAGGUCGGAUUAGCUAGUUGGUGAGGUAAUGGCUCACCAAGGCGACGAUCCGUAACUGGUCUGAGAGGAUGAUCAGUCACACUGGAACUGAGACACGGUCCAGACUCCUACGGGAGGCAGCAGUGGGGAAUAUUGGACAAUGGGCGAAAGCCUGAUCCAGCCAUGCCGCGUGUGUGAAGAAGGUCUUCGGAUUGUAAAGCACUUUAAGUUGGGAGGAAGGGCAGUAACUUAAUACGUUGCUGUCUUGACGUUACCGACAGAAUAAGCACCGGCU